RNAcentral lists this ribosomal RNA (305 nucleotides) under uncultured bacterium. RNAcentral's name for it is "bacterial SSU rRNA". It matches the Rfam family "Bacterial small subunit ribosomal RNA", at positions 333 to 636 of the family's 1533-position model. The record is from RNAcentral.
UCUUUCCUACGGGAGGCAGCAGUGAGGAAUAUUGGUCAAUGGGCGAGAGCCUGAACCAGCCAAGUCGCGUGAGGGAGUACUGCCCUAUGGGUUGUAAACCUCUUUUGUCGGGGAGCAAAGCGAGUCACGUGUGACUCAUUGAGAGUACCCGAAGAAAAAGCAUCGGCUAACUCCGUGCCAGCAGCCGCGGUAAUACGGAGGAUGCGAGCGUUAUCCGGAUUUAUUGGGUUUAAAGGGUGCGCAGGCGGAGGUGCAAGUCAGCGGUCAAUUUGCGUGGCUCAACCCCGGACUGCCGUAGAAACUGG